UAACAAUUGAAAAACACGCCUUGAAGGACUUGAACCCUCGACAUCAGGUUUUGGAAACCUGCGUUCUACCAACUGAACUAAAGGCGU
RNAcentral lists this transfer RNA (87 nucleotides) under Prionitis asiatica. RNAcentral's name for it is "Grateloupia asiatica tRNA-Trp". Lineage: Eukaryota; Rhodophyta; Florideophyceae; Halymeniales; Halymeniaceae. The record is from RNAcentral.